This 72-nucleotide transfer RNA is filed under the name Mesocricetibacter intestinalis. It matches the Rfam family "tRNA". Rfam says of the family: Transfer RNA (tRNA) molecules are approximately 80 nucleotides in length. Lineage: Bacteria; Pseudomonadati; Pseudomonadota; Gammaproteobacteria; Pasteurellales; Pasteurellaceae. The record is from Rfam by way of RNAcentral.
UGGGGUAUCGCCAAGCGGUAAGGCACCGGAUUCUGAUUCCGGCAUUCCUAGGUUCGAAUCCUAGUACCCCAG